UUUUUUUUCUGAGUGAAAAUCUCUGUAACUUGUUGGAGCAAACCCAUCAUGUUUUGUAUAUUGUAAGUGAAUGUCACAAAGAAAGUCUUUGGAUGUUAAUGUUUCUUUUGAAAGUGCAAUACUUUAAGGAAGUACUUCGGCCUAGAAACAGUCUCAUGUUCUAUCGCCUGAGGAAGCAAUGUUGUUGCUGUUACCUUUUGGAAUUGAACAUGAGACAUGCAUAUUCCUUUAUUCUUUUGGUUUUUUAUUUAAACUAAGAAUCAGAGAAGACAUGUUGUUUUCUAGCCAACUGCCUAUUGUUACAGGGAGUGGCUAGUGUUAGGUGUGAUGAAGGAGAUUUUUCUGGGUGAUAAUCUCCUUAACUUGUUGGAGCAAACCAAUCAUGUUUGUAACUUCCUAAGUAAACGUCACAUAGAAAGUCUUUGGGUGUUGAUGGUUCUUCUAGAAAGUUCAACCUUUCAGAAAGUUCCUCCACCUGAUGGCAGUAUCAUAUUCCAUCAUCUGGAGAAGCAGCAUCGCUGCCAUUACCUUUU
RNAcentral lists this long non-coding RNA (533 nucleotides) under Phoenix dactylifera (date palm). Its description in RNAcentral is "long non-coding RNA (PDAC_LNC022350)". Lineage: Eukaryota; Viridiplantae; Streptophyta; Magnoliopsida; Arecales; Arecaceae. The record is from RNAcentral.